AUUGAACGCUGGCGGCAUGCCUUACACAUGCAAGUCGAACGGCAGCACGGGAGCAAUCCUGGUAGCGAGUGGCGAACGGGUGAGUAAUAUAUCGGAACGUGCCCGGUCGUGGGGGAUAACGUAGCGAAAGCUACGCUAAUACCGCAUACGAUCUACGGAUGAAAGCGGGGGAUCGCAAGACCUCGCGCGAUUGGAGCGGCCGAUAUCAGAUUAGGUAGUUGGUGAGGUAAAGGCUCACCAAGCCGACGAUCUGUAGCUGGUCUGAGAGGACGACCAGCCACACUGGGACUGAGACACGGCCCAGACUCCUACGGGAGGCAGCAGUGGGGAAUUUUGGACAAUGGGCGCAAGCCUGAUCCAGCAAUGCCGCGUGCAGGAUGAAGGCC
RNAcentral lists this ribosomal RNA (386 nucleotides) under uncultured bacterium. RNAcentral describes it as "bacterial SSU rRNA". It matches the Rfam family "Bacterial small subunit ribosomal RNA", at positions 29 to 416 of the family's 1533-position model. The record is from RNAcentral.